Molecule: ribosomal RNA, 346 nt
Filed under: Ice core clone 105-10
Lineage: Eukaryota
Description: SSU rRNA
Rfam family: Eukaryotic small subunit ribosomal RNA
Source: RNAcentral
AUAGCGUAUAUUAAAGUUGUUGAGGUUAAAAAGCUCGUAGUUGAACCUUGGGCCUAGCCGGCCGGUCCGCCUCACCGCGUGCACUGGCUCGGCUGGGUCUUUCCUUCUGGAGAACCGCAUGCCCUUCACUGGGUGUGCCGGGGAACCAGGACUUUUACUCUGAACAAAUUAGAUCGCUUAAAGAAGGCCUAUGCUCGAAUAUAUUAGCAUGGAAUAAUAGAAUAGGACGUGCGGUUCUAUUUUGUUGGUUUCUAGGAUCGCCGUAAUGAUUAAUAGGGACGGUCGGGGGCAUUAGUAUUCCGUUGCUAGAGGUGAAAUUCUUAGAUUUACGGAAGACUAACUUCUG